This 1327-nucleotide ribosomal RNA is filed under the name Klebsiella pneumoniae. Its description in RNAcentral is "partial 23S ribosomal RNA". It matches the Rfam family "Bacterial large subunit ribosomal RNA", at positions 146 to 1519 of the family's 2925-position model. Lineage: Bacteria; Pseudomonadati; Pseudomonadota; Gammaproteobacteria; Enterobacterales; Enterobacteriaceae. The record is from RNAcentral.
CACUAUCGUUAACUGAAUACAUAGGUUAACGAGGCGAACCGGGGGAACUGAAACAUCUAAGUACCCCGAGGAAAAGAAAUCAACCGAGAUUCCCCCAGUAGCGGCGAGCGAACGGGGAGCAGCCCAGAGUCUGAAUCAGCUUGUGUGUUAGUGGAACGGUCUGGAAAGUCCGACGGUACAGGGUGAUAGUCCCGUACACCAAAAUGCACAGGCUGUGAACUCGAAGAGUAGGGCGGGACACGUGGUAUCCUGUCUGAAUAUGGGGGGACCAUCCUCCAAGGCUAAAUACUCCUGACUGACCGAUAGUGAACCAGUACCGUGAGGGAAAGGCGAAAAGAACCCCGGCGAGGGGAGUGAAAAAGAACCUGAAACCGUGUACGUACAAGCAGUGGGAGCACCUUCGGGUGUGACUGCGUACCUUUUGUAUAAUGGGUCAGCGACUUAUAUUCUGUAGCAAGGUUAACCGUAUAGGGGAGCCGCAGGGAAACCGAGUCUUAACUGGGCGUUAAGUUGCAGGGUAUAGACCCGAAACCCGGUGAUCUAGCCAUGGGCAGGUUGAAGGUUGGGUAACACUAACUGGAGGACCGAACCGACUAAUGUUGAAAAAUUAGCGGAUGACUUGUGGCUGGGGGUGAAAGGCCAAUCAAACCGGGAGAUAGCUGGUUCUCCCCGAAAGCUAUUUAGGUAGCGCCUCGUGAACUCAUCUUCGGGGGUAGAGCACUGUUUCGGCUAGGGGGUCAUCCCGACUUACCAACCCGAUGCAAACUACGAAUACCGAAGAAUGUUAUCACGGGAGACACACGGCGGGUGCUAACGUCCGUCGUGAAGAGGGAAACAACCCAGACCGCCAGCUAAGGUCCCAAAGUCAUGGUUAAGUGGGAAACGAUGUGGGAAGGCACAGACAGCCAGGAUGUUGGCUUAGAAGCAGCCAUCAUUUAAAGAAAGCGUAAUAGCUCACUGGUCGAGUCGGCCUGCGCGGAAGAUGUAACGGGGCUAAACCAUGCACCGAAGCUGCGGCAGCGACACUAUGUGUUGUUGGGUAGGGGAGCGUUCUGUAAGCCUGCGAAGGUGUGCUGUGAGGCAUGCUGGAGGUAUCAGAAGUGCGAAUGCUGACAUAAGUAACGAUAAAGCGGGUGAAAAGCCCGCUCGCCGGAAGACCAAGGGUUCCUGUCCAACGUUAAUCGGGGCAGGGUGAGUCGACCCCUAAGGCGAGGCCGAAAGGCGUAGUCGAUGGGAAACAGGUUAAUAUUCCUGUACUUGGUGUUACUGCGAAGGGGGGACGGAGAAGGCUAUGUUAGCCGGGCGACGGUUGUCCCGGUUUAAGCAU